GAUUUCUGGCUUGAAACAUUUUGCCGGCCACGGUUUCGUGUGUUAGUGCUUGAUGUUCUGGCCAUCCUUCCAAUCGCUAUUGGUUACUCUUCAUUGAGUGGUCAGUAGUAUUGGAUCUUUUACUUUGAAAAAAUUAGAGUGUUUCAAGCAGGCUUUAUGCUAUGAAUACAUUAGCAUGGAAUAAUAAUUUAGGACUUCGGUUCUAUUUUGUUGGUUUCUAGAACUGAAGUAAUGAUUGAUAGGGAUAGUUGGGGGUGCUAGUAUUCAGUGGCCAGAGGUGAAAUUCUCGGAUUCACUGAAGACUAACUUAUGCGAAAGCAUU
This 322-nucleotide ribosomal RNA is filed under the name uncultured Sandona. RNAcentral's name for it is "SSU rRNA". The stretch from base 113 to 322 matches the Rfam family "Eukaryotic small subunit ribosomal RNA", at positions 745 to 955 of the family's 1831-position model. Lineage: Eukaryota; Cercozoa; Glissomonadida. The record is from RNAcentral.